This 467-nucleotide ribosomal RNA is filed under the name uncultured bacterium. RNAcentral describes it as "partial 16S ribosomal RNA". It matches the Rfam family "Bacterial small subunit ribosomal RNA", at positions 28 to 506 of the family's 1533-position model. The record is from RNAcentral.
GACGAACGCUGGCGGCGUGCUUAACACAUGCAAGUCGAACGGAAAGGCCCUGCUUUUGUGGGGUGCUCGAGUGGCGAACGGGUGAGUAACACGUGAGUAACCUGCCCUUGACUUUGGGAUAACUUCAGGAAACUGGGGCUAAUACCGGAUAGGAGCUCCUGCUGCAUGGUGGGGGUUGGAAAGUUUCGGCGGUUGGGGAUGGACUCGCGGCUUAUCAGCUUGUUGGUGGGGUAGUGGCUUACCAAGGCUUUGACGGGUAGCCGGCCUGAGAGGGUGACCGGCCACAUUGGGACUGAGAUACGGCCCAGACUCCGACGGGAGGCAGCAGUGGGGAAUAGUGCACAAGGGGCGGAAGCCUGAUGCAGCAACGCCGCGUGCGGGAUGACGGCCUUCGGGUUGUAAACCGCUUUCGCCUGUGACGAAGCGUGAGUGACGGUAAUGGGUAAAGAAGCACCGGCUAACUACGU